This is a long non-coding RNA of Ailuropoda melanoleuca (giant panda), 3033 nucleotides long. RefSeq lists it as uncharacterized. The transcript has 3 exons. The record is from RefSeq and is a predicted model, not a curated record. NCBI's taxonomy places the organism in Eukaryota, Metazoa, Chordata, Mammalia, Carnivora, Ursidae.
CAGAUAAGUCAACAACGCCCUGGAGAAGUUGAAGAUUAAACUCUGUGGUUAGAGUUCUAAACUCAGGCACUAACAAGUACUGAGUUUCCAGCUUGCCUCCUUAUCUGCUCUGCUCUCCUUCCGCAGGUCCUGACCUACUCCUGGGGAUGAAGAGACUUAAAGGCACAUUUUCUGACUGUGAGGUCCUCUAAGUGGAGGCAGCAGAAAUAUAAGCAGGAAUACGACUCCUCCCCGGAGAGCCCAAGUUACUGCUGAAAACUGUGAAGUCUCCAGUCUGAGCAUUUCAGAAGCCAAGAUGCUCCAAUGGAACCAUCCAAGUUCUUUGUGUUGGUGGGAAACCUCCCUGUAAGGAGUUUUCUCCAGCAAACAAAAUCAUUUGGCGAGAGUAAGCAGGCUCCCCCCGAGAGACCCCCUGGAAUGGAAGAACACUGAGCUAUGUCUUUACCUGCAGGCACAUUCAAACUGAAAUAAAGACCCCCUUCUCGGAGACCUUGGGUCCAUCUCAACUGCCCUUUCUGCAAGGAUGGGAGAAAUUCUGAGCCGACGAUGAGUGGAGGAGUUAAUUUGCUGCUGUGCUAAACGGCGAGCAGUGAGGCUGUCAGAGGGGAGAAGCAGCAGCAAGUGGAGAAAUCUUUGAUCCUCACUUCAGCCAACUUCUUCCGGAAACUUGAAUGGGAGAUCAAACGUGAACAGCAGCGCAGGCUUUGAGCUCUGUCCAGGGCUAUAGGAAUCCAAUACUCCAAUAAUCAUCCGGCUUCGACAGAAGUCAACCCAGGAAGCUCACCAAGGAAAAGGCUUAAGAAAGCAGAGGACUGAAGCCAUGACAAAUGAGGGAGAGGAGGAGAGGGUUGCAAACGUCCUUGGGCUGUCUUCACUGGAAUACUCUUCCUGUGCAUUUCUUCCCUUAUGCAGCCAGCCUUUCGCACAAAACUCAAAAGGCAACAGACAUGAAGCUGAAUAAUCAUCUGCAUUUCUAGACUCAAAUAGAAGUUCAAGGGCCUGGUCUUGGUUUUUCUCUGCUAAGGAUUCACGCAAGCUCUGCCUGGGGAAUCGAUUUACUGUCCAAGUAGCUCUGUAGACCGCGGGGUAGUACCAACACUUCUGUCCAGAUCACACGUGAUAUUCAUCAUAAAGCCCCUCCCAUCUGUAAAGCACCUUGUAGUUUACAAAGCAUUUUCACACUCAUUAUCUCAUUUGCCCUAUGGUAGGGAGGGUGGGGGAGUGUCUCUGUGUUCCAGGGGCUCAGGAUUGAUCGCCAGCUGCCCAUUUUCGCCCCAAGAGUCCUGGUCAUAAGUGAUACAUAUUACAACAUGAUCAAAGUCCAGCAAAUCCUGCAAGUGUGGUCACUUACAGCUGCCACAAAUACAAAAUCUCAUUACAGUCACUGGCAUGCAUCCAACCACUCUGAUAUUUAGCAGAAAGAUACGGCAGAUAGGCAGAAUAGCGCCUCUCAUCACUGUUGGAGCAUCCAGACUAUUACCACCUUACUUGGUACACCCAUCGCAUGGCAUGGAUACUAAGUAAAAGCUGUACCUCGGGAUAUAAUCUUUACUCAUAAGCUUGGUCCUGAACUAUGCUCUUCAGCUCACCUAGCUCUUAAAUGUUCUGGCCACCUGCUGCGAUACUGCUCUUCCUUUCUUUCCUCCCCCCGAAUCCUCCCUGGUCCCUCACCAAGAUGCGCUUUACAACCCUGACCUCUUGUCAGUGUCAACCACAACCUACUACUCCCUCGCCCCAAGCUUAUUUCAGUAUCAUUCUCUUCUAAUUCAACCUAGCCUAAAGGACACGGUGCACCAAAGGAUGAAUAUAUCAAUCUUUGGGGGGAAAAAACACAACAUUCUGAGAAGAGCUCCAGAAACCCACACCUUGGCAUGGUCCGUGGCAGAGCCACCCAGUAAAAAGAGAGCAACUAACAAAACCUAGUGAGCUCUGGAGCUAUGAAGGGUGGGGGGCUCGCCAGGUCACCCAUCAUUAGGUGAGUUGAUACAACGAAUGCUUACAGGUGAUAAAACACAGUCCUCUUCUUCAGGAGGCUUAGAGUCCAUCAAGGAAGACAGACAUUAGACAUGUAGUUUCAGUCCUAGGGGAUGGUGGUUGUAACGGAGAUUUCCCAAGUCGUUUGGAGGAGGUUGCAGGUACCGGACCACACUGAACAACUUCAGGGGGCACUCUUCCUGUGAGAGGCAGCUAACAUCAUCUACUGAUAGGAGAGUGUCCUCGGCACUCAUUCUAUAGAAACUGACCACGUAAUGGCCAUGUUCAUAACACAUGACUCUCUCUGGCAAAGAUCAAGAUUUUAUCCUUCCAUGCGGAGACUGCUUAGCCCAAUGAGGGCUCUCAGUAUCCAAGACCCAGUAGAGCUGCAGGGGCUCGGGGAAGAGUACAGUAGAGGCCAUCUCUGAAGCGUACGAUCUUGCAGGACAGGCACUGCUGGAGGGCCCAUCUGGCUUUAAAGAAGAGACAAGUUUGCAGGCUCUGGGUUCAGACAGAGGAUUGGAGCUCUGUCAACAGUUUACAUUUCACUGGAACUUUCUCCAGAGCUACGGAGCCAUAACUACUGGUGGGAUGUUCUUUGUACAGUAGCCUGAACUCAGCACAAUUGUUGCUGGCAGGGUGCCCAUUUUCAUGGCAAUCUGGCAUCUGGUGUUUCCUGAGCACCCACUAUGUACCAGGCCACCCAUUUCUUAAUAAACAUCCCAAGUGGAAAGGAAAGGGCCAGAAAGUGACCUGUAUGAAAAUCCAGUGUGUGCCGCCCACGAGCCAUGUGACUUUGGUCAGUCUGCCUGAGCUUCAGUUUCCGUAUCCAUCAAAUGAGAGGCAAAAUCUCAGGAGAUUCUUUAAAGGUUUAAAUGGAUAAUGUCUCUGGCACACUGUGGGGCUAGAAAUAUGGUUUUUUCCCUUCCCUCUUUCAAAAGCAGGCACUCUGGAGUGAGUCUGGCUUAUGUCACGGUUUCUUCACUCUCCAAAUACUGGACUUUAACUGCCCCUCCACCCUGUGAAAUGGGACACUAGUAUUUACCUUAUGGGAUUGAU